Molecule: ribosomal RNA, 205 nt
Filed under: uncultured bacterium
Lineage: Bacteria
Description: partial 16S ribosomal RNA
Rfam family: Bacterial small subunit ribosomal RNA
Source: RNAcentral
UGCGCAGGCGGCGGCUCAAGUCAGGUGUGAAAUCCCCGGGCUUAACCUGGGAAUUGCGCUUGAAACUAGGCUGCUUGAGUGUGGCAGAGGGGGGUGGAAUUCCACGUGUAGCAGUGAAAUGCGUAGAGAUGUGGAGGAACACCGAUGGCGAAGGCAGCCCCUGGGUCAACACUGACGCUCAGGCACGAAAGCGUGGGAGCAAACA